This 1427-nucleotide ribosomal RNA is filed under the name metagenome. RNAcentral describes it as "bacterial SSU rRNA". It matches the Rfam family "Archaeal small subunit ribosomal RNA". The record is from RNAcentral.
ACCCGUUGAUCCUGCGGGAGGUUGCCGCUAUUAGGGUUCGACUUAGACAUGCAAGUUUUCUCGUAAGAGAAGCGAAAUGCUCAGUAACACGUCGAUAAUCUGCCUUUGGGUUCAGGAUAACCUUGGGAAACUGAGGACAACACUGAAUAUGGGUUUAUAACUGGAAUGUUUUUACCUUGAAAAGCAAUGCCCAAAGAUGAGUCGGCGGCUGAUUAGGUUGUUGGCAGUGUAAUGGACUACCAAGCCUAUGAUCAGUAGGGGCCGUGAGAGCGGGAGCCCCGAGAAGAGUACUGAGAUACUGACUCUAGCCCCACGGGGUGCAGCAGUUACGAAACCUCUACAAUGCACGCAAGUGUGAUAGGGGAACCCUAAGUGCCUUGUUUAACAAGGCUUUUGCCGAAUGUAAAUAGUUUGGCGAAUAAGUGAUGGGCAAGACUGGUGCCAGCAGCCGCGGUAACACCAGCGUCACAAGUGGGAACCACAUUUAUUGGGCCUAAAGCGUCCGUAGCCGGGCUGUUAAAUCUUUUGUGAAAUUGUUGGGCUUAACUCAACGAAUUGCGAGAGACACUGACAAUCUUGGGACCGGGAGAAGUCGAAGGUAUGGAUGGGGGAGCGGUAAAAUGUUAUAAUCCCUUCUAGACCACCAGUGGCAAAGGCGUUUGACUAGAACGGAUCCGACGGUGAGGGACGAAAGCUAGGGGAGCAAACCGGAUUAGAUACCCGGGUAGUCCUAGCUGUAAACUCUGCGAACUAGGUGUCGCAUAUUCUACGAGAGUAUGCGGGAUCGUAGUGAAGACGUUAAGUUCGCCGCCUGGGAAGUAUAGUCGCAAGACCGAAACUUAAAGGAAUUGGCGGGGGAGUACUACAACAGGUGCGGCGUGCGGUUUAAUCUAACUCAACACAGAGAAUCUCACCAGAGGCGAUGGCAGAAUGAAGGUCAGUCUAAAGGGCUUACCUGACACGCCAAGAGGUGGUGCAUGGCCGCCGUCAGCUCGUGCCGUGAGGUGUCCAGCUAAGUCUGGUAACGAGCGAGACCUGCGUCUACAAUUGCUAGCAGCUUCAUUGAAGGACUGAGCACUUUGUAGAGACUGCCUUGGAAACGAGGAGGAAGGUUCAGGCUACGGAAGGUCUGUAUGCCCCGAAUCUUCUGGGCUACAUGCGCGCAACAAUGGUAAGAACAAUGGGAUGCGACUCUGAAAAGAGAAGCUAAACCUCGAAAUCUUACCCUAGUACAAAUCGAGGAUUGUAACCCAUCCUCGUGACGCUGGAAUCUGUAGUAAUCGGACUUUAUCAGAGUCCGGUGAAUAUGUCAAUGCUCCUUGCACACACCGCCCGUCAUCCCAUCCGAGCAGGGUUUGAGUGAGCUUUAGUUUUUUUGACUAAACCGAACUUGAGCUCAGUGAGGCGGGGCAAGUCGUCACAAGGUA